UUAGGAUCAAUGAGUAGGUUGUGCUAUUGUGUUUAGUUGUGAGUUUAAGUGACAGAACGGGCCUAUUGGUCUGGUGGUUGGGUGAGCAUUAGUGAAACUUUGAGUUUUGGGUUCGAGUCCUUGUGUUUUAAGUUUUUUUUAUUUAUUUUAAUUUUUAAAUUUUCUUUUUCUUUUUUGAUAAUUGGGGAGAGGAAUGGGGUUGGUUGGAAUCGAAUCCAAGCUCUUAUACCUAUAACAUAAUAAUCUUACCAUUAGGUCAAGAGAUGGUUGGAAAUUUCUAAUUUUUACUUUUUAAUUAAUGCUUUUAAUUAAAUUAAUUCAUGUUGUUUAAAGAUUUUUUAUUUUAAUUUUUAAUUAAUGUUUUUAGUUAAUAAAUAUGUUGUGUUCAAGUUUUUUAAAUUUAUUUUUAAUU
Molecule: long non-coding RNA, 412 nt
Filed under: Gossypium raimondii (Peruvian cotton)
Lineage: Eukaryota; Viridiplantae; Streptophyta; Magnoliopsida; Malvales; Malvaceae
Description: long non-coding RNA (GRAI_LNC003837)
Source: RNAcentral